AUUGAACGCUGGCGGCAUGCCUUACACAUGCAAGUCGAACGGCAGCGGACCUUCGGGUGCCGGCGAGUGGCGAACGGGUGAGUAAUAUAUCGGAACGUACCUUUCAGUGGGGGAUAACGUAGCGAAAGUUACGCUAAUACCGCAUAUUCUGUGAGCAGGAAAGCAGGGGAUCGCAAGACCUUGCGCUGAUUGAGCGGCCGAUAUCAGAUUAGCUAGUUGGUGAGGUAAAGGCUCACCAAGGCGACGAUCUGUAGCGGGUCUGAGAGGAUGAUCCGCCACACUGGAACUGAGACACGGUCCAGACUCCUACGGGAGGCAGCAGUGGGGAAUUUUGGACAAUGGGCGCAAGCCUGAUCCAGCCAUGCCGCGUGAGUGAAGAAGGCCUCGGUUGUAAGACUCUUUCGGUCCGGGAGGAAAGUACGCACAGGUUAAUACCCUGUGUGGAUGACGGUA
RNAcentral lists this ribosomal RNA (453 nucleotides) under uncultured bacterium. RNAcentral's name for it is "bacterial SSU rRNA". It matches the Rfam family "Bacterial small subunit ribosomal RNA", at positions 30 to 477 of the family's 1533-position model. The record is from RNAcentral.